UUAUUGGUUUACGAGCAUACUGAAGUUGGCAUUGAACGCCAUUAUUAAAGUGCAUUUAAAGCUUCAAACCGAAGCCCAGCAGCAAUCAAGCAAAUUCAUCACUAAAAUGGGUUCUUGAUUCUUGGCUAGCAGGUACUUUAGUUUUCUGGAAAGAAAAAGAAGAGAGAGAAAGAGUGGCUUCAAUUCAUUUCUCAGUGGGCAUCUUAGCUGAUUUUCCAUCUGCAUAUUGUAAUAAUUGCAGUCUAGGCAUCUCAAGACAAAACGCAAAUAGCCAACAAAGACCAGGCAAUGGUGUCCUCUAAUUCUCUGAGGUCGUCUUCCAAGAAAUCAGAUGGGAAAAAACCAACAAAAGAAACGGGGAAAGGAAAUUCAGUCUCGGACAAUAACAAGGAACGUGGAAGCAGGAAAAGGAAAAUUGAUAAAGUUCAGGAGAAACCGAAGCCAAGUAACAAAUCUGCGAAAACCUCUACAGGAAAGGCUUCGGCUACAAGUCAAAAAACGAAGGAGAAGGCAAACUUACGUCCAGAGAAGACCAAGCAGAAACUAGGUAGCACGAGCAAGAAACCCCCCCGGCUAAAAAGCCCCAAACGGCCCCUCCACUCUCGGGAAACAACUUCAGUUAAGGAAGUUAAAGAACCAAGCGCACGUAAAAUCAAAAUAAUGCAAGCUCUCGGUUUGGCUGCUCCCACCGGUUCCCCAUUCCAACAAAACCCGCGGAUCAGUUCUCUGAAACGAGUUAAGUAAGAUAUUUCGAGCUGCAGUGUCUAAAUUUUGUCUUCGAGCAUUCGCAACUAGAGAUGCUCUAGAUGCUGCAUAUAUGCCCAGGUAUAUAUCCAGAGUUUCCACCAUCCGGCAUUCUGACUAAUUUCCUUGUUAGAUUGUAGGCAACUCUUUUGGGUGAGACAAAUCUUAUAACGGGUUGAUUUAGGGCUCCAUAGUCACCUCUAUCCACAUGUGAAGAUGUGGAUCUUUGGAUGAAUUGAUUGUUAACGUGUUUUUAUGAGUUGGUUAGCCAUGAAUGGAGAAUAGUUGUGGUGGUUCGUAUGUAAGAUUAGCCCAAGAGA
Molecule: RNA transcript, 1064 nt
Organism: Ipomoea nil (Japanese morning glory)
Lineage: Eukaryota; Viridiplantae; Streptophyta; Magnoliopsida; Solanales; Convolvulaceae
Exons: 6
Source: RefSeq, a predicted model, not a curated record